Molecule: ribosomal RNA, 504 nt
Filed under: uncultured bacterium
Lineage: Bacteria
Description: bacterial SSU rRNA
Rfam family: Bacterial small subunit ribosomal RNA
Source: RNAcentral
ACAAAGUGACAGGUGGUGCAUGGUUGUCGUCAGCUCGUGUCGUGAGAUGUUGGGUUAAGUCCCGCAACGAGCGCAACCCUUAAGCUUAGUUGCCAGCAUUAAGUUGGGCACUCUAAGUUGACUGCCGGUGACAAACCGGAGGAAGGUGGGGAUGACGUCAAAUCAUCAUGCCCCUUAUGAUUUGGGCUACACACGUGCUACAAUGGACAAUACAAAGGGCAGCUAAACCGCGAGGUCAUGCAAAUCCCAUAAAGUUGUUCUCAGUUCGGAUUGUAGUCUGCAACUCGACUACAUGAAGCUGGAAUCGCUAGUAAUCGUAGAUCAGCAUGCUACGGUGAAUACGUUCCCGGGUCUUGUACACACCGCCCGUCACACCACGAGAGUUUGUAACACCCGAAGCCGGUGGAGUAACCAUUUAUGGAGCUAGCCGUCGAAGGUGGGACAAAUGAUUGGGGUGAAGUCGUAACAAGGUAGCCGUAUCGGAAGGUGCGGUUGGAUCACCUC